GUGGCGGUUCCUGAGGUCCGAUUUUUCGGUACUAUUGGGCGCCGCCAUCCUUGGGUGGAACCUGUGUGGCAUUAGGUUGUCGUGCAGGGGAUGCCCAUCUUUUACUGUGAAAAAAUUAGAAUGUUCAAAGUAGGCUUACGCCGUUGAAUAUAUUAGCAUGGAAUAACACUAUAUGACUUUGGAUCUAUUUUGUUGGUUUGCGCUCCGAAGUAAUGAUUAACAGGGACAGUUGGGGGUAUUAAUAUUGCCUUGUCAGAGGUGAAAUUCUUGGAUUUUGGCAAGAUUAACUACUGCGAAAGCAUUUACCAAGGAUGUUUUCAUUAAUCAAGAACGAAAGUUAGGGGAUCGAAGAUGAUUAGAUACCAUCGUAGUCUUAACCAUAAACGUUGCCGACAAGGGAUUGGUGGGGUUUCGUUAUGUCUCCAUCAGCACCUUAUGAGAAAUCACAAGUCUUUGGGUUCCGGGGGGAGUAUGGUCGCAAGG
This 483-nucleotide ribosomal RNA is filed under the name Naviculales sp. RCC5384. Its description in RNAcentral is "SSU rRNA". It matches the Rfam family "Eukaryotic small subunit ribosomal RNA", at positions 651 to 1136 of the family's 1831-position model. Lineage: Eukaryota; Bacillariophyta; Bacillariophyceae; Naviculales. The record is from RNAcentral.